UCCCGGCCAGCUCAGUCAGCAGAGCAUGGGAUUCUUAAUCCCAGGGUCAUGGGUUCUAGCCCCAUGGUGGGUG
This 73-nucleotide transfer RNA is filed under the name Capra hircus (goat). It matches the Rfam family "tRNA". Rfam says of the family: Transfer RNA (tRNA) molecules are approximately 80 nucleotides in length. RNAcentral also lists the same sequence under 1 other name. The record is from Rfam by way of RNAcentral. Lineage: Eukaryota; Metazoa; Chordata; Mammalia; Artiodactyla; Bovidae.